Small nuclear RNA from Myotis lucifugus (little brown bat), 107 nucleotides. Lineage: Eukaryota; Metazoa; Chordata; Mammalia; Chiroptera; Vespertilionidae. The record is from Ensembl.
GUGCUCGCUUCGGCAGCACAUAUACUAAAACUGGAACGAUACAGAGAAGAUUAGCAUGGCCCCUGUGCAAGGAUGACGUGCAAAUUCAUGAAGCGUUCCAUAUUUUU